AGCUUUUCAAAUCCAUGCAGAGAUUUCGUCGGACACCAACCCAUUAGGUGUGAUCAGACUCUCAAGGUAGAUAAAGCU
This 78-nucleotide microRNA precursor is filed under the name Schistosoma curassoni. RNAcentral describes it as "mir-3492 microRNA precursor family". It matches the Rfam family "mir-3492 microRNA precursor family". The record is from Rfam by way of RNAcentral. Lineage: Eukaryota; Metazoa; Platyhelminthes; Trematoda; Strigeidida; Schistosomatidae.